CAGCUACUCGGGAGGCCAAGGUGGGAGGAUCACUUGAGGCCUGGAAUUUGAGACUAGCCUGGG
This 63-nucleotide non-coding RNA is filed under the name Homo sapiens (human). The record is from RNAcentral. Lineage: Eukaryota; Metazoa; Chordata; Mammalia; Primates; Hominidae.